GACGAACGCUGGCGGCGCGCUUAACACAUGCAAGUCGAACGGAAAGGCCUGCUUUCCCUUGUGGAUUGCGGGUACUCGAGUGGCGAACGGGUGAGUAACACGUGAGUGAUCUGCCCCCAACUUGGGUAUAAGCCUGGGAAACUGGGUCUAAUUCCCGAUAGGACUGCAGGGUGGUGCCUGUGGUGGAAAACGAUUUUCUAGUGGUUGGGGAUGAGCUCGCGGCCUAUCAGCUUGUUGGUGGGGUAAUGGCCUACCAAGGCGGCGACGGGUAGCCGGCCUGAGAGGGUGGACGGCCACAUUGGGACUGAGAUACGGCCCAGACUCCUACGGGAGGCAGCAGUGGGGAAUAUUGCACAAUGGGCGGAAGCCUGAUGCAACGACGCCGCGUGGGGGAUGACGGCCUUCGGGUUGUAAACUCCUUUCGACCGCGAGGAAGCCACCUGGUUGGAAGGGUGGUGACGGUAGUGGUAGAAGAAGCACCGGCUAACUACGUG
Molecule: ribosomal RNA, 494 nt
Filed under: uncultured bacterium
Lineage: Bacteria
Description: partial 16S ribosomal RNA
Rfam family: Bacterial small subunit ribosomal RNA
Source: RNAcentral